Long non-coding RNA from Lutra lutra (Eurasian river otter), 3161 nucleotides. RefSeq lists it as uncharacterized. The record is from RefSeq and is a predicted model, not a curated record. The transcript is spliced from 3 exons. Lineage: Eukaryota; Metazoa; Chordata; Mammalia; Carnivora; Mustelidae.
GCGAGUCUCUGUUGUCUGCACUGGUCAGGGCUGAUCCCAAAGGGCAAUCAUUUGCCAUGGUUUGUCCAAUGCCCAGACCAUAGGCUAUCCGGUCCCAUUCAGUCACUGCUUAGAUGAAAGUGCUUCCGUUCUUGAAAAGGAAAAAGCCUGUUUUGCAGAAGGCAACAAGCCAUAGUGGAGACAGAAUGGGGUGUGGAAUCAUAUGGCCCUGGGUUCAAAUUCCAGUUUCACCAUUAACAAUCUGUGAUCUGGUGACUUCUGUGUGUGCACAGAGGGUGAUUCUUCUUCUUCUUCUUCUUUUUUUUUUUAAAGAUUUUAUUUAUUUGACAGAGAGAGAUCACAAGUAGGCAGAGAGGCAGGCAGAGAGAGAGAGAGAGGAGGAAGAAGGCUCCCUGCUGAGCAGAGAGCCCGAUGUGGGACUCGAUCCCAGGACCCUGAGAUCAUGACCUGAGCUGAAAGCAGAGGCUUAACCCACUGAGCCACCCAGGUGCCCCCAGAGGGUGGUUCUGAGGACAGAGUAGGACAGAUGCCGGACUCACAGUCAGUCUUCCUAAGCUUUCUGCCGGCACGGGGAGAGCGGGAGCCCUUCGAGGUCUCUCCAGGUUCACUUCCUAUUCCUCCUCCCUAUCCCAGCGCCAGUCCAGCCUCCAGCCAUGCCCUCCCCACCAAGGGUGAGGGUGGUGAUGCUCCACGCCUCUUCAUCUUGGGUCUUGCUGCCACCAGCUCUCCUUGUGGCUCCUUUACUCCACUCAGGUUUCUCCCUCCCAGAACAUCACCUCUGCAAGGUCUUCCCAGAUUCCGUGGUUGCAAGCAGCCCGUCCAGCCAUCUCCAGCCCUUCCCUACUCUCCUGUCCUCGAGAGCUCACCGCCCCCAACUAGAUGUUGUCUCCUCCCUGAGAUCACUAGCUUCACGGGGGCAGGCAUUUGGUUUGCCUGUUUUUUCACUCCCUUCCCAGGGUCUGUAAUAGUUCCAGGCACAUACCUGAUAGCCAAUAAGUAUUUGUUAAGUGAUCCUCCACCAGAACUGUCCGGAGGGCGGGCUCUGAGUGCAGGUGGGGAAAGGUGAGGGGCAUGGGAUCUCCGUGGCCCACAGGGCAGGUCCAGGCAAGUCAGCCCCAUGCAUAAUGUCAGCCUUCCCUUGCUCCUUCCUCUGGGGCCCCAAGGCAGGUUCCGACUUGCACAGCCAUGUGGGUGACCUGGCGGGGUAUGCUGAAUGGCCGUGAGAGAACUCUAACCCUCCCAGCUCAGGGGCCCAGAACCCUGCACUCAGAGGCCCCUUCUCCCCAGACCCCGUGGCUUGAUCCUGAAGUGAGAAUACAAAACCUGACCUGGGAUUCUGGGGUGCAGCUUCUUCCCCCCUCCCCACAACCCUGGAGAGGGGUGUGGGGGCUGCUGUGGGUGAGAGAGGAGGGGCACUGGAAGCCUCCUGUAAGCCCACAGCUUCCCAUAGCACCCUUUCCACCCAGCGGGAAUUUAUGCAAAACGUUAUUGUAAUCAGGUGUCAGGUGGUAUUGUAGAAAGUACCUCCGACCCUGCCUUUACAGACAAUGGCACAGGGGACUUGGGGGCAGCUUCGCUUUGGGUGGGGCUGAGUUGGCUGCUAAUCGUGGGACGUGGGCCAGGGAACCCGGGUUCUGCAGAUUGCUAAGCUGCUGGCUUCUUUAGAGGAAAUGGGUAGAUGCCUGGCUGGGGGUUCUGGGCUAGAAACAUGUUCUCAUCAGAGAUGAGCUCCUCAUCACAGUGUGAGCUCCAGAGAUAGCAGGGAACAGAUGUGCCCUGGGCUGGUGGAGGGGCUCCUGGGCUUGGGGGCAGGAGAACUGAGUGCGAGGCCCUCUCUUUCUAGGCCGGCUUCUUUCCUGCUCUGAGCCUCAGUGUCUUGUUCUGAGAAGGAAGGGCUGCACUCCAACCGUGAGGUCAUUUCUCAGUGGCUUAGGGAGUCACUGUCCCACGAGAAGGGCAAUCCCACAAGGCCGCACCAAGCACAGCUAGCUUCCUUGUCCCCUUCAUUAUUUGCUUGGAGAGAAGUGGCCUGAUUCUCCCGCCAUCUGGCUUCUAGUAUAUUCUGAGGAGUCACAGCACACUCCCUUGGUUCACACAGGCCCUGAGGACCAUCAGGGACCGGAGGUGGAUCAGCGCAGUUAGGGACAGAGGGGACAGGAGGAGAAGAGCCUAGAGGCUGGAGGGAUCUCUUCUGUGGGUCCCCGGGGAGGUGGGCAAAAGAGAGAUACCAGGCUUCCUGUUCCCCAGAGCAGGCAUCUUCUCUAUGGAUGUGCUGUAAUGUGGCUCAUUCCACAAACUUCUCAUCCCAUCCAUCCUGCAUGAGUGCCAUGAUGUUGGAAACAGCUUGGCCUGAAGGGACACCCCCCCCCGCUGCCAAGAAAAGAUCUUAUCUGUGCCCCUGUGGUAGUUUCAAAACAUGGCCUCCAAAUUUUUUGAUCCAACUUCCCUUUGACAGGGGGGAUGUCUCCCCCUCCCUUAAAUCUGGCCUUGCGACUGUCUGACAAAUGAACAGAGUACAUGAGGUGCUGCGCCAAUAUCUGGGUCGCGGCCUUCAGACGCUGGCAGCUUCCACUGCCUGUCUCUUGGGAUGCUUGCUCUUGGAACCCAGACCAUGCCGCGAAGAAGCCAAAGUCGCCUGUGGGGGGAAGGAACCCAUGUGGAGAGGGACCGAUGCUCCCAGGCCUCGGCCAUGGCCGAGCACCCGGUGCCAACAUGCCAGCCGUGUGAGGGAACCAUCCUGGGGCUCCCGGUCCAGAGGCCCGGCUGACAGCACGUGGACCGGAGGCACGCUGUCCCCAGCACGCCCUGCCCGGCUGGCAGGUGCGUCAUCACAACAGACACGUGGGGCUCUUGGAAGCCACUAAGUCACCAGCUGUCUGUUACUGGACUAGAGAGGACCGGCCAAGCAGGUGCUGGGGACCAAGAACCCUCGCGUCCUUCCACGCCUGUAAGGAUCACACCCUAUCCUUUCACUCCUAAGGAAAUGGAGGCCCCAAAAGAUGGAAGCCACACCGUUCAUAAAUGGCCCGAAGAUCCAAACCGCAAAAAAGAUGAAGGAACCUUGUUGAUGAAGUCCUUUACCCUGGGAAGAAGAAGAUAAAAAAAGAGAGAAAAGAAGAAAAGGAAGAAAAGAACAGAGGGAGAGUGAAGGAACAAUCCUU